AUGAAAUUGAUGUCGAAAGGGAAGGGUGUUCCUUUACAGUCGAAGUGGCCUAUGAAUGGUUACCGGAUUUCUGUUCUCACUUUCAGAAUAUAGGUCAUGAUGUCACUACUUGCAGACGGCUUUAUCCUAGGAAGGAAACACAAACACUGAAGGAACAAAUUGUGCAGGGGAAGAAGCAAGUCCCUGCUGAGAAGGUUACUUGGGUACCAAUAAAAAAUAAUCCAUCUGGCAUUGGUUCCUCUAUAGCUUUUGGCUCCUCAAAAGAAAAUGUUCCAGAACCGAUAAAUGUAGAUGAGGAAACGGAAGUAGUCCCACAACAAUCAUUGAGU
This 329-nucleotide long non-coding RNA is filed under the name Medicago truncatula (barrel medic). Its description in RNAcentral is "lncRNA gene19". Lineage: Eukaryota; Viridiplantae; Streptophyta; Magnoliopsida; Fabales; Fabaceae. The record is from RNAcentral.